CAGGCCACAACCCAUCUCCCCCACACCUAAAAAAGAAAAACCUAAUCUAUCCCCUAUCUCUCGGCCCUCUCUCCCUUAUCUCUUUCUCUUCAGAUCUGAGCAGCGGCGGCUCCCAUCCUCUCCCUCAGAUCGAGCUCCGCCCCGAUGUGGAAGAAGGUCUCGCCGCCCAGAUGUGGAGGAAGGCCUCGCCGCCCCGUCGAUUUGCAUGCGAGCCCCACCCCGAAGUAGAGGACAUGGUACGCGGACUUCUAUCUGUGCGCAUCUAGCCAUGGAGAUGGAGGGCUCGCCCCUCUCGCGCAUCUCCUCCGCACAGAGCGCUAGCAGCCCACAUGGCGUAGAUCCGCCAUCUCGUCAGUCCCACGCGCCGGCCACCGGUGGCUACCGCACUGUUCUGUUCAUCCCCCGCCCGCCGCACGCGACGGCCCACACUGCCAUGUUGUUUUGCUGCAGCCAGACCGCCGCCCCUGCCCUCGCGCACCGGGCAGAGGCUCGUUCUUCCUGGUGGUUGUUCACUCUUGGCGACUACGCGUUCCUCCCGGUGGUGGCGCUCUGCACACUGCUUCGCCUUUCUCCCAGAGGCUGCCGUUCGGCCCCUACCUCUAACCAAUUGAUUCAGCAACACAGACAGACGUGGAUUCUAGUACAAUGUCUGGGGAAAAAGCUGGUACACCUCUAAACUUUGUAAUAUUUGGGAGAGGAUGACUAAUCUAAUAUUAUCCAACAUACAUGUUUGUUGUCCUUGACCUGGAUGCCGAUGACACUCUUUUUCAUUCAGUUUGAAGUUGGUUUGCAUUGUUUCUGCAAAAGAAUUUUGUCUGAAUGUCAUAAAAAACAUGUUGAUAUGUCAUUAUAGAAUUUUGUUGCUUCUGUUGGAACCUGCAUUAUCAAUUUCACAGCAUGCAAAAGUUACUACUAACAGGUUACAUGCUGGUUUUUGACUGUUUAGGUUUCGACUUUGGAUAUCUGAACAAAUUAUAUAUGGAGAUUUCUUCUAUUAUAAUAGAAGUUAAACUUACCAAAAGAACAGAGGAUGUUUUAAAUAAGAGCAUUGUCUUCUAUGCUAUUUACAAUGUCAAAAUGUGGGGAAGGAAAGCUUCAAGAUAUUCCAUUUAAAGCGCUGGUAUCUAUUUGAAAAUUAAUGUAUGUGCAUACCUCCUUGAUCCCAACAGUAUUUGUGUACUGUAUAGGAAUCCUGAGCAGUAGCAAGUCAGGUGCUUAAUGGUGAUCCUACCGUGCAUAUUGCAUAAGCAAGUUAGUUCUAAAAAGGUAAUUGUUAAUUCGCCCGCGUCCGUCCCGCUAUUGCCACAACUCAUCUUGCAUAAGUGUUCCUAUAAGUUGGUACAAAGAUUUGACCGUGAAUGAACUUCAUACAGAUAACACAGUAGUUUGUGCACAACCAUAUUGCCUUUUCUCGCAUAAUAUGAAAACAUCAAAAUUAACCAGAGAAGUGAAUAUAUCUUCUCUAACACUGUCCACAUGUUCCUCUGUCAGUUUGGAUCAUAAGAAGUUGAACUAUCAGAAGCACAUGGUCUUCCACAUCAUUUUGGCACCUUACCUGUGGGUGUCCACGACAACAAUUUUUGCGGGCUUGGAUGUGGCACCACGGGCACCCAAUCGCAGCUUGAAUUGCUAGUGCUUAGUGCAGUGGGAUCAGAGGAUGGUCAUCAAUAGUUAACACACGCCAGCAGAAAUGUAAUAACCAAAUCUUAAACAGCAGACGAGAUAGUUUAUUUCUCUUAUGCGUAAUCUGAUGGUUUCCUAGGUUCUGGCUCUUAUACCUUCUGAAGAUUUGUAUGUAGAUUACAUAUGCUUCUCUGAAAGUAAUGGCUAAAUCUAAUCUAAUUUGUGGCACUGAAGUACAGAUGCUUUUCUCUGACGCUGUUAUGAAUAUAAUAGUCAGGUUCAGUCUAAGUUCAUAUGCUUUUUGAUUAGUAAUUUGCAGGUCCUCAUGUGCUUAGUACUGCAUUUAGAAAUGAUUGCGAGUAGAUUCUUCUAUAUGUAUGUGUAAUUGUGUACACCAAAUGGAGUCCUUGAAAUUCAUUUCUAACAUAGGGGAAGUAUGUAUAACCUCCUGAUGUACGUGGGUUUUUCACAAUACUUUUCCUAGGCCAUGCUGCACUCAUCAUUGAAACUCCUAGCUGUGUAUUAGGUAGUAAUCAUUUUGCCUAAUUUAUUGCCAUCAAGUGAAGCAAAGUGUGGUCUUUUCCACCCCAGAGAAGAAAAAGAAAGAAAACUAUGCAGUCUUUUCUACAAGAAUGGCUUUCGUGUGUCCGUCCGUGGAUGUGUUGCUCCCAAUAAUUGGGCGUCUGGACAUUCUAAAUUGUUGCCUUGUGUCCAGAUGAUACACCAUGUAAUAUACUUCCUGGUCUGCGGCUUGUGGAGAUUGAUACAGGCUACAUGGUGGGUCAGUGUGGCAUUGAUGUUUUAUUAUGCCUAACACAUCACAGAUUCAAAUUAGAACAUGUUGUGGCAUUAUUCUGAACAUGCCGUGUUUUUAUAAUACUAAAACCCCACAGUUUGUUUUUGCCAUUGAUGCUUUAUACAAUUAUUAUUUUUGCCAUUAUCUCUAUGAACGCAUGAAUUCACCGGUGACUUUUUUAUCCUUUGUAGGAAUGACAUACAAGAUUACGAGGAGGGAACCAUGAAUAUGGCAGUUUGCAUCAGCUAGACAUUUUGUGUAAUGGAGUAAAAAUAAUGUGUCUUUUAGGUAUAAUUUUGUAAACCUAUAUGGUGUCUUGUCAACUGGGUAUUUUGUGUAAUGGAGCAAACGAUGAAUCACCUGGACAUGCAUAUAUCAUUUUGUAAACCUAUCAGGUGCCUCAGUGACAGAAACAUAAAUGUUUCCUCCUUUCUGUUAGUUACCUUUAUCUAUAAGAAUAUUCUUCUUUUGUUCUGGUUUAA
This is an RNA transcript of Triticum dicoccoides, 2901 nucleotides long. RefSeq lists it as uncharacterized. The transcript is spliced from 3 exons. Lineage: Eukaryota; Viridiplantae; Streptophyta; Magnoliopsida; Poales; Poaceae. The record is from RefSeq and is a predicted model, not a curated record.